AGCCAAGUAAUUAAGGGCAAUCGGUGGAUGCCUUGGCGCUGAGAGGCGAUGAAAGACGCGGUAGGCGGCGAUACGCACCGGGGAGCAGCCAAACGUGCUUUGAUCCGGUGGUUUCUGAAUGGGGAAACCCGGCGGGAGUCAUGUCCCGUCAUCCCUUGACUGAAUACAUAGGUCUUGGGAAGCGAACGUGGGGAAGUGAAACAUCUCAGUACCCACAGGAGAGGAAAUCAAAAGAGAUUCCCAUAGUAGCGGCGAGCGAACUGGGAAGAGCCCAAACCAGGUGCCUCCGGGCAUCUGGGGUUGUAGGGUCUCCAUCAAGUGAUUCACUAUUAGGCAGGGGAAGUGUCUGGGAAGGCACGCCGUAGAGGGUGAAAGCCCCGUACCUGAAACCGAAUGUGACGCUGGAGAUACCUGAGUACCACGAGACACGCGAAAUCUCGUGGGAAUCCGGGAGGACCAUCUUCCAAGGCUAAAUACUCCUCAGCGACCGAUAGCGAACUAGUACCGUGAGGGAAAGGUGAAAAGAACCCCUGUUAGGGGAGUGAAACGAGAACCUGAAACCGAUUGCCUACAAGCGGUUCGAGCCGGGCUUGCCCGGUGAGAGCGUGCCUUUUGCAUAAUGAGCCAGCGAGUUAUCCUGUCGUGCGAGGUUAAGGCUAAAAUGCCGGAGCCGUAGCGAAAGCGAGUCUGAAUAGGGCGAACAGUACGGCGGGAUAGACCCGAAACCGGGUGAUCUAUCCAUGAGCAGGUUGAAGCUCGGGUAAAACCGAGUGGAGGACCGAACCCAUAUGGGCUGAAAACCAUUGGGAUGACUUGUGGAUAGGGGUGAAAGGCCAAUCAAACUCGGUGAUAGCUGGUUCUCCCCGAAAUAUAUUGAGGUAUAGCCUCAGGCAGGAAGGACGGAGGUAGAGCACUGAAAGGGCUAGGGGUCUCACCAGAUUACCAAACCCUAUCAAACUCCGAAUGCCGUUCUUUUAUUGUCUGGGAGUCAGACUCUGGGUGCGAAGGUCCAGGGUCGAGAGGGUAAGAGCCCAGAUCGACGGCUAAGGUUCCCAAAUCCAUACUCAGUGGGGAAGGAAGUGGGACCGCUCAGACAGCCAGGAGGUUGGCUUAGAAGCAGCCAUCCUUUAAAGAAAGCGUAAUAGCUCACUGGUCUAGUGGUCCUGCGCCGAAAAUGUAACGGAGCUAAGUAUGGUACCGAAGCCUCGAGCCUAUCUCACGAUAGGCGGUAGGGGAGCGUUCCCGGACGGGAUGAAGGCAGAUUGUAAAGUCUGCUGGACUAACGGGAAGUGAUAAUGCUGGCAUAAGUAACGAUAAAACGGGUGUGAAACCCGUUCGCCGUAAGCCCAAGGUUUCCUGGGUAAAGUUAAUCUUCCCAGGGUGAGUCGGUCCCUAAGGCGAGGCCGAAAGGCGUAGCUGAUGGAAAACAGGUUAAUAUUCCUGUACCUGUUUGUGUGUGCGACGGAGGGACGCAGGAGGGUAGGUCAGCCGGCUGUUGGACGUGCCGGUGUAAGCGUGUAGGCUUGGAGGAUAGGCAAAUCCGUUCUCCUUUAACGCCGAGACGUGAUGCCGAGUCUUACGACAUAAGUGACUGAUCCCAGGCUGCCGAGAAAAGCUUCUAAGUUUAGCACAAGCAGACCGUACCGUAAACCAACUCAGGUGGGCGGGGAGAGUAUCCCAAGGCGCUUGAGAGAACUCUGGUUAAGGAACUCGGCAAAAUGACCCCGUAACUUCGGGAUAAGGGGUGCCCCCUAGAGUGAAGCACUUGCUGCAUAAGCUUUGGGGGGUCGCAGUGAAACGGUGGUGGCGACUGUUUACUAAAAACACAGGUCUGUGCGAAGUCGUAAGACGACGUAUACGGACUGACGCCUGCCCGGUGCCGGAAGGUUAAGGGGUGGGGUUAGCGCAAGCGAAGCUCUAAACCGAAGCCCCGGUAAACGGCGGCCGUAACUAUAACGGUCCUAAGGUAGCGAAAUUCCUUGUCGGGUAAGUUCCGACCUGCACGAAUGGCGUAACGAUCUCCACGCUGUCUCAACCAGAGACUCAGUGAAAUUGAUGUGGCGGUGAAAAUGCCGUCUACCCGCGGAAAGACGGAAAGACCCUGUGCACCUUUACUAUAGCUUGACAUUGGAGCUUGGACAAUCGUGUGUAGGAUAGGUGGGAGACUG
Molecule: ribosomal RNA, 2168 nt
Filed under: Solidesulfovibrio aerotolerans
Lineage: Bacteria; Pseudomonadati; Thermodesulfobacteriota; Desulfovibrionia; Desulfovibrionales; Desulfovibrionaceae
Description: Desulfovibrio aerotolerans partial 23S ribosomal RNA
Rfam family: Bacterial large subunit ribosomal RNA
Source: RNAcentral